AUGUUUAACUCUGGAAAAUCCGAGCUGACCGCCAUCUUUUUUCCUCGGAGCCGAGCCGUCCAAGCAUCAAACCAAAGGAAGAGAGCAGCAGCUUUGCAGGGACUGCCAUGGUACAUGAAGGAAAAUCCUUCUACAUUGAUGAAGAGAUGUGAGCCAACAGAUCCUGGGGAGGACUUCAUCAAAGGAAUGGUGAUUGGAAUCCUUUUGGUCGUUGAAGAUGUGAAAGAGCCCCUUCCAGUUUCCUACAACGAUGUUGCCAUUGUCAUUGAGGAAAAGAUUGUCAUGCGUCAUCUUGGUGAUGUACCCAACGCUUUUGUGAACCUGAUGGGCCUGCUGUACAUGCUGAACCUUGACUAUCCAAAAGAGAUGAAAUAUACUUUUGAGGUGAUUCAGCGCCUGUUCAUGGGAAUCGGGUCUGAGAUGUGCACUCCCAGGGUCCACUCUCUAAAGAACAAACUGCUCAGUUAGAGGGAUGGCUCAGGAGGAUGUUUCUGCAUUUGGCCAUGAGGAAGUAUUCUAAUUUUCUUGCCAUUUGUCCACUAUGUAGUAAGAGGAAAUAAAUGUAAAGCCCUUCUGUGGGUCA
This is a long non-coding RNA of Cyprinus carpio (common carp), 583 nucleotides long. Lineage: Eukaryota; Metazoa; Chordata; Actinopteri; Cypriniformes; Cyprinidae. The record is from Ensembl.